CGGGGUAGAUCUCCCACCCUUGUGUAUCAUUAUAAAAUGUUGCUUUGGCGGGCCGCGAGCCUGGCUUGCCCGGACGAUACGUCCGGCGUGCCCGCCAGAGGAUCCCAAACUCUGAAUGUUAGUGUCGUCUGAGUACUAUUAAAUAGUUAAAACUUUCAACAACGGAUCUCUUGGUUCUGGCAUCGAUGAAGAACGCAGCGAAAUGCGAUAAGUAAUGUGAAUUGCAGAAUUCAGUGAAUCAUCGAAUCUUUGAACGCACAUUGCGCCCCUUGGUAUUCCGGGGGGCAUGCCUGUUCGAGCGUCAUUAAUACCAAUCUAGCCCUGCUAGGUGUUGGGCUUCGCCACCCGGCGGGCCUUAAAAUCAGUGGCGGUGCUCUGCAGCUCUACGCGUAGUAACUUUUCUCGCUAUAGGGCCUGUGGAGAUGCUUGCCAUCAACCCCAAAUUUUUCUAGGUUGACCUCGGAUC
Molecule: small RNA, 466 nt
Filed under: Lachnum nudipes
Lineage: Eukaryota; Fungi; Ascomycota; Leotiomycetes; Helotiales; Lachnaceae
Description: eukaryotic LSU rRNA
Rfam family: 5.8S ribosomal RNA (bases 151-304)
Source: RNAcentral